CGUGAUUGUGUCCAGUGAGGGAGAAAGCGCCGCUGCCGUCGACCCCCUCGCUACACCGUCGCCGUGUCCUUGGAGUACUGUCCCGGUGACUCGCCCUAUCGCGCCGCUGGUGUGUGACCACUUCAGAAAGGCGGGAACCAGCCGUUCACUCCUCAAUUGCUCGCCGGAGGAGGGUCAUCACCCUGGUCCCGCGCCUCGCCGUGGACAAAGGGUCCUGGCAUCACGACUAGCUG
This 233-nucleotide long non-coding RNA is filed under the name Zea mays. RNAcentral describes it as "long non-coding RNA NONZMAT004445". Lineage: Eukaryota; Viridiplantae; Streptophyta; Magnoliopsida; Poales; Poaceae. The record is from RNAcentral.